RNAcentral lists this transfer RNA (75 nucleotides) under Phymatolithon calcareum. RNAcentral's name for it is "tRNA-His". It matches the Rfam family "tRNA". Rfam says of the family: Transfer RNA (tRNA) molecules are approximately 80 nucleotides in length. Their secondary structure includes four short double-helical elements and three loops (D, anti-codon, and T loops). Lineage: Eukaryota; Rhodophyta; Florideophyceae; Hapalidiales; Hapalidiaceae. The record is from RNAcentral.
GCGAAGUGAGCUCGGUUGGGUUAGAGCAUUAGAUUGUGAAUCUAAAGAUCGUGGGUUCGAGUCCCAUAUUUCGCC